RNAcentral lists this ribosomal RNA (273 nucleotides) under uncultured bacterium. RNAcentral's name for it is "partial 16S ribosomal RNA". It matches the Rfam family "Bacterial small subunit ribosomal RNA", at positions 524 to 796 of the family's 1533-position model. The record is from RNAcentral.
UACGUAGGGUGCGAGCGUUAAUCGGAAUUACUGGGCGUAAAGCGUGCGCAGGCGGUUAUAUAAGACAGAUGUGAAAUCCCCGGGCUCAACCUGGGACCUGCAUUUGUGACUGUAUAGCUAGAGUACGGUAGAGGGGGAUGGAAGUCCGCGUGUAGCAGUGAAAUGCGUAGAUAUGCGGAGGAACACCGAUGGCGAAGGCAAUCCCCUGGAACUGUACUGACGCUCAUGAACGAAAUCGUGGGGAGCCAACAGGAUUAGAUACCCCGGUAGUCC